Molecule: ribosomal RNA, 869 nt
Filed under: Galphimia australis
Lineage: Eukaryota; Viridiplantae; Streptophyta; Magnoliopsida; Malpighiales; Malpighiaceae
Description: eukaryotic LSU rRNA
Rfam family: 5.8S ribosomal RNA (bases 392-547)
Source: RNAcentral
GUCCGGUGAAGUGUUCGGAUCGCGGCGACGUGAGCGGUCCGCCGCCCGCGACGUCGCGAGAAGUCCACUGAACCUUAUCAUUUAGAGGAAGGAGAAGUCGUAACAAGGUUUCCGUAGGUGAACCUGCGGAAGGAUCAUUGUCGAAACCUGCCCAGCAGAACGACCCGCGAAUCGUAGUCGAAACGCGCCGAGGGGCGCCUGGGCUUGCCCUCGCUCCCUCGGCACUCCGGGCAGGCGCCGAGGGGCCGCGCGCCCGCGGCGCCCGUCCGGAACAACAACGAACCCGGGCGCAGAAUGCGCCAAGGAAAACGGAACAGAGGAGGACCGCCCCGUGGCUCCCGACGAGGGCGCAGACGGGACGGCCCGCCCAAUAAAUGUCGCAAACCAAAACGACUCUCGGCAACGGAUAUCUCGGCUCUCGCAUCGAUGAAGAACGUAGCAAAAUGCGAUACGUGGUGUGAAUUGCAGAAUCCCGUGAACCAUCGAGUCUUUGAACGCAAGUUGCGCCCGAAGCCUUUCGGCCGAGGGCACGCCUGCCUGGGUGUCACACAACGUUGUCCCCCCGCCCCCCUCUCAUCGAGGGCGCAGGUGCGGGGACGGAUGCUGGCCUCCCGCGAGUCACCCCUUGCGGCUGGCCAAAAUGCGAGUCCAGGCGACAGGAGCCGCGGCGGCUAGUGGUUGAACGACCCUUGAGAACGGCCGCGGCCUCCCGUCCCCACGGCGGGCUACACGACCCGAGCGCGCUCGAUCGCGCGCUGCAACUGCGACCCCAGGUCAGGCGGGACCACCCGCUGAGUUUAAGCAUAUCAAUAAGCGGAGGAAAAGAAACUUACAAGGAUUCCCCUAGUAACGGCGAGCGAACCGGGGGG